Long non-coding RNA from Scophthalmus maximus (turbot), 446 nucleotides. RefSeq lists it as uncharacterized. The transcript is spliced from 2 exons. NCBI's taxonomy places the organism in Eukaryota, Metazoa, Chordata, Actinopteri, Pleuronectiformes, Scophthalmidae. The record is from RefSeq and is a predicted model, not a curated record.
GUGACUCACAAUUGGAGAGUGACGAGACAAGUAGGCAGACUUGGACUAGAUGGUGAGCUUGCUUACUUCAAACAUAGGAGGGAUAGAUUUAGAAGCAGAACGAAGAGUUAACAUUGGCGUUGCUUUCUACCGCUGGAGACAAAAAUAAAAGUGGAAAUGAAAAAAACCUAGGAUGGGGAAAAAUGUCUUACCUCCAUAGGAUCCAGAGGCUCUCCGUUCUUCAGCCAGCGGUACGAGGGCUUGGGCUUGGCACUGGCCUUGCAUUCCCACACCAGCGUGUCGUCGAUGGUCUUCUGGACGUCCUGCGGCUUCUCGGUCAAAUGAGGAGCAGCUGAGAGGUCACAAACCACACACUGUGAAUGUAAUGCUGCACAGAUGCUUGUGCAUCAGAUGCUUGUGCAUCACCUGUAUGUAGCACUUUAACAAUAAAUCAAUGAACCAACCAA